CUCUCUCGUACGCGGCUGCUCACCGACCCCCGCUGCGCUCUGCGUGACAAACAGCACCGGUAUCCUUUUGUGCCACCUGGCAGGCUGCUGCGCGCACGAAGAAAAGGGGAGAAAAAGGUGCUCGCGAGACCAAGACCACCGCGCUCGGGCAGGGUUUCGCUCUGCGAUCGGGGCUCCUUUUCCCUCAGCCGUGAGACUAUUUCUGAGCAAAAUAAAGGGGCUGUUGAGCCAAAGAAACCCGCGAAGGGAAGCCCGCCGUCGGGGAGUUCCCGUUCCCGAAAGCUUUGGAGCCGCGCGGCCGCGCUUCCCUCGCGCAGAGGCAGCCACCGCACUGCCGCCGGCCAUGUGGGAGAGCCCCGCAGCGGGCGUCUGCCCGACGCGCCUCACAGGAAACAUCCACGGUUUUAUUGCUGAACAGGCUUUUCCAGGAGCCCGGUGCGACUUCCCGGGAAAGCCCCUCGCAAGAGAGGCGCCCGCACCAGCAGCAGGCCGAGGUGACCGGCUUCCGCGGGCCGAGAGCGGGGCCCAGCGCCGCCUCGGCUCCCCCUCCCGCGGCUCUCCGGGGCCCUUGUGGCUGGGGGGUUUUAAGGUCCAAAAUGUUCUUCUCUAGCUUUCUCGCUCAAGCCCAGGAAGCACGAAGGUGCCUCCGUUUUCGAAGCGCUGGCAGCGCCAGGUGCCGAAUUCGGCGGGGAGCCGUGCCGCGAAGGGAGGUUCCCCAGGAAAGGGAGGUUAUCCCCGGGGAUCCGCUGCACCGGCACCCACGUGACUGCGCUGCAAGGGCUUGGCCCAAGCGCAGCACCCGCAGUGCAACGUUUCCGACAGCCGCCUCCUCUCACCAGCCGUUCAAGCAGCUACUUCAUCCAAAAUGCAAGCUCGAACACUUCUUGGAGCACUUAGCUGUUGCAAAAACACAGGAAAUGCAAAGACUACAUAAGGUUUCUCCAUAUCGUUAUCUUCUCCCUGGGAUGUACCAUCCCCCUUGCUCCUCUUUGUUUCUGACUCGAGCAAAGAAACAGGGCAAGGAGGAAUAUGGCAAGCAGUGAGAAAAUAAAGCAGCUAAAAUCAGUGAUUAUUUCAGAACAUCUGUGCAAAAAUGAUGUACCCAAGUUCACACAGGAGCUGCUGGGGCAUGAGCAUGACACACGAGUUUCAGAUUGAUGCUCCAACCCCCACAUCAUCCCUUGUUUGAGUAUUAAACUAAGAAGGAAAUACCUAUUUCUUUUUCUAACAUCUUUUUGCAUAUCAUUUCACUUGGAAAGCAAAACCAAAGUAGAUAGCUGCCUCCUUCUCACAGUUGCUUCCCAGAUACUUUCAGACUGCUGCUCUCAGACACCAGCACCACGCAGCUAUGUCUGAGUUAGUGUUUCAAAAUCAUUACACAGACAAGACAUUUCUACCAGUCCUGAGUUUUCUUCUGUUUUUAUGAAAGCUAAAGCCAGAUCUGACUUGGCAUAAUUCUUAGUAUGUUGUAUUCCCAAUAGCUUGAGUUAACUUUUCAUUUUCAUUACAGAGAUAGUCUCUGGAUUCCUGACAAAAUUUUGAUUAAGCAUGGUGCUUUAAACCUUAACUCCUAAGGAACCAUCUCUAUAUUACAGAGAUGAGCUACUUUCAAAUGGGAUAUAUUUGUGGAUUGGUAAGGAAAAGGCCAGGACAUGCUAUUGUAAAUAAAGUUCGAACAUGUUUUUCAGCUAUAUAUAGCUGUAACAAGUAUUUAUCUUGAAUCAUGCCUUAGAUGUUUAAAUUGAUUUGUUACCAUUACUACUUUUCUUCUCAGCUCUGUUCGUACUUCUCUAACUUGGCUUCCCCAUAUAGUUAUUGGUGACUGAAGGGAAAGGAGGCUGUGUUGGGAGAGGAAAGGAAGGUGACCCUAGAGGUCCUCUAACUGAACUAACAGAACAUCUAACAGUGAACUGCACGUUUGCUGUGUGGAUCUGGGCGGCCAAGUCAUGUUCUGCGUAGUCACUCGUCCGGCAGAGAGUUCCUGUGAGCGGAGGAAAACAAAUUCUGCAAGGCCUGAUUUUGGAAGCAAAGUUUCAAGGUGCUGUAAUCCUUAUAGGUUUGAAGAACUGAGAAGAGACUUCAGAGCAUACCCCAAAAAUCCUACCUGGUUUUCCCCUGUUCCACCUCCAAACCUGCCUUUAUGAGCAGGAACAGGGCUCCAUGGGUAAUGUGCAGGAUUAAUGGCCUUGGCUGUUCAUGUCAUGCCCACUUACUCCUGUCAGCGGUGCCAUUACAACAAGAUCCUUCCUGGGCUCAGGGGGACGGUGGGAUUGUGUGGCAUCCCCGAAGGACUUCAGAGAAUCUGACACACACGCGCAGGAUAAUACAGACUCCACAUCCUCACUGCAGAUGCCUGGAGGCUUAACACCAUUCUUUCCUAUUGGCUAUCUAAAACAAUGUUAGCGAUUAAAUCUCACUUCUCUAA
Molecule: long non-coding RNA, 2425 nt
Organism: Dromaius novaehollandiae (emu)
Lineage: Eukaryota; Metazoa; Chordata; Aves; Casuariiformes; Dromaiidae
Exons: 2
Source: RefSeq, a predicted model, not a curated record